AUCUCUCAUUUUAUUCCACAAAGCAAAAUUAUUCAUAUAGUGGGGUUGGCGGCUCUAUGUUGGGCUAUUUGGAAGCUUAGGACUAGAGCACUCUUUCAUAACAAACUUGUGAAAUCUCCAGCUGAAUUUGUAUGUUAUGCUUGUUCUUUCCUACAAUAUUGGGCAGGGUUGCAAAAUGAUGAGGACAAGAAGAUUGUGCAACAAGGAGUUGAUCCGUUGCAGCAUGUGGCGCUGGAGAUGCAUGUUGUUGUGCAUGCGUCGAGGAAUGAUGAAGCCCUUCUACUAAGAGCAGACAUGAUACACAAGCUGGGGGAACGACAAGGGAUACUAAGAUCGAGAAAAAUGAAGAUGAAGAAGCUGACGCAUAGAUCAAAGGAUAACAUGUGUUUCCAUUUUGCUCCCUUUGAGGGUGAAGAUGUGCAGUUGUGA
RNAcentral lists this ribosomal RNA (429 nucleotides) under Triticum aestivum (bread wheat). Its description in RNAcentral is "partial small subunit ribosomal RNA". The record is from RNAcentral. Lineage: Eukaryota; Viridiplantae; Streptophyta; Magnoliopsida; Poales; Poaceae.